UACGAAGGGUGCAAGCGUUACUCGGAAUUACUGGGCGUAAAGCGUGCGUAGGUGGUUCGUUAAGUCUGAUGUGAAAGCCCUGGGCUCAACCUGGGAAUUGCAUUGGAUACUGGCGGGCUAGAGUGCGGUAGAGGAUGGCGGAAUUCCCGGUGUAGCAGUGAAAUGCGUAGAGAUCGGGAGGAACAUCUGUGGCGAAGGCGGCCAUCUGGACCAGCACUGACACUGAGGCACGAAAGCGUGGGGAGCAAACAGGAUUAGAUACCCUGGUAGUCCACGCCCUAAACGAUGCGAACUGGAUGUUGGGUGCAACUAGGCACUCAGUAUCGAAGCUAACGCGUUAAAUUCGCCGCCUGGGGAGUACGGUCGCAAGACUGAA
RNAcentral lists this ribosomal RNA (376 nucleotides) under uncultured bacterium. RNAcentral's name for it is "bacterial SSU rRNA". It matches the Rfam family "Bacterial small subunit ribosomal RNA", at positions 524 to 898 of the family's 1533-position model. The record is from RNAcentral.